Molecule: ribosomal RNA, 440 nt
Filed under: uncultured bacterium
Lineage: Bacteria
Description: partial 16S ribosomal RNA
Rfam family: Bacterial small subunit ribosomal RNA
Source: RNAcentral
CCUACGGGAGGCAGCAGUAGGGAAUAUUGCUCAAUGGGGGAAACCCUGAAGCAGCAACGCCGCGUGAAGGAUGAAGGUUUUCGGAUUGUAAACUCCUUUUGUUAGGGAAGAUAAUGACGGUAUCUAACGAAUAAGCACCGGCUAACUCCGUGCCAGCAGCCGCGGUAAUACGGAGGGUGCAAGCGUUACCCGGAUUCACUGGGCGUAAAGAGCGCGUAGGCGGGAGAGCAAGUCAGAUGUGAAAGCCUAGGGCUUAACCAUAGGACUGCAUUUGAAACUGUUAUGCUGGAGUAUGGGAGAGGUAGGUGGAAUUCUUGGUGUAGCGGUGAAAUGCGUAGAGAUCAAGAGGAACACUCAUGGCGAAGGCGACCUGCUAGAACAUAACUGACGCUGAGGCGCGAAAGCGUGGGGAGCAAACAGGAUUAGAUACCCGAGUAGUC